CAAGCGGUGGAGCAUGUGGUUUAAUUCUAAGCAACGCGAAGAACCUUACCAGGUCUUGACAUACCAUUGACCGUUCUAGAGAUAGGAUUUUCCCUUCGGGGACAAUGGAUACAGGUGGUGCAUGGUUGUCGUCAGCUCGUGUCGUGAGGUGGUGGGUUAAGUCCCGCAACGAGCGCAACCCCUGUCGUUAUUUGCCAGCAUUCACUUGGGGACUCUAACGAGACUGCCAGUGACAAACUGGAGGAAGGUGGGGAUGACAUCAAAUCAUCAUGCCCCUUAUGGCCUGGGCUACACACGUGCUACAAUGGUUGGUACAAAAAGAAACGAAACGGUGACAUGGAGCAAACCUCAUAAAGCCAAUCUCAGUUCGGAUUGUAGGCUGCAACUCGCCUACAUGAAAUUGGAAUCGCUAGUAAUCGCGAAUCACAAUGUCGCGGUGAAUACAUUCCCGGGUCUUGUACACACC
Molecule: ribosomal RNA, 466 nt
Filed under: uncultured bacterium
Lineage: Bacteria
Description: bacterial SSU rRNA
Rfam family: Bacterial small subunit ribosomal RNA
Source: RNAcentral